CGGAAAGGCCCAGCUUGCUGGGUACUCGAGUGGCGAACGGGUGAGUAACACGUGGGUGAUCUGCCCCUGACUUUGGGAUAAGCCUGGGAAACUGGGUCUAAUACCGGAUAUGACCUUACAUCGCAUGGUGUUUGGUGGAAAGCUUUUGCGGUUGGGGAUGGGCCCGCGGCCUAUCAGCUUGUUGGUGGGGUAAUGGCCUACCAAGGCGACGACGGGUAGCCGACCUGAGAGGGUGAUCGGCCACACUGGGACUGAGACACGGCCCAGACUCCUACGGGAGGCAGCAGUGGGGAAUAUUGCACAAUGGGCGCAAGCCUGAUGCAGCGACGCCGCGUGAGGGAUGACGGCCUUCGGGUUGUAAACCUCUUUCACCAGGGACGAAGCGUGAGUGACGGUACCUGGAGAAGAAGCACCGGCCAACUACGUGCCAGCAGCCGCGGUAAUACGUAGGGUGCGAGCGUUGUCCGGAAUUACUGGGCGUAAAGAGCUCGUAGGCGGUUUGUCGCGUCGUCUGUGAAAUUCUGCAGCUUAACUGUAGGCGUGCAGGCGAUACGGGCAGACUUGAGUACUACAGGGGAGACUGGAAUUCCUGGUGUAGCGGUGAAAUGCGCAGAUAUCAGGAGGAACACCGGUGGCGAAGGCGGGUCUCUGGGUAGUAACUGACGCUGAGGAGCGAAAGCGUGGGUAGCGAACAGGAUUAGAUACCCUGGUAGUCCACGCCGUAAACGGUGGGUACUAGGUGUGGGGCUCAUUUCACGAGUUCCGUGCCGUAGCUAACGCAUUAAGUACCCCGCCUGGGGAGUAC
RNAcentral lists this ribosomal RNA (805 nucleotides) under Gordonia sp. (in: high G+C Gram-positive bacteria). RNAcentral describes it as "bacterial SSU rRNA". It matches the Rfam family "Bacterial small subunit ribosomal RNA", at positions 67 to 883 of the family's 1533-position model. Lineage: Bacteria; Bacillati; Actinomycetota; Actinomycetes; Mycobacteriales; Gordoniaceae. The record is from RNAcentral.